RNAcentral lists this ribosomal RNA (492 nucleotides) under uncultured bacterium. RNAcentral's name for it is "partial 16S ribosomal RNA". It matches the Rfam family "Bacterial small subunit ribosomal RNA", at positions 29 to 507 of the family's 1533-position model. The record is from RNAcentral.
AGUGAACGCUGGCGGUAGGCCUAACACAUGCAAGUCGAACGGCAGCACAGUAAGAGCUUGCUCUUACGGGUGGCGAGUGGCGGACGGGUGAGGAAUACAUCGGAAUCUACUUUUUCGUGGGGGAUAACGUAGGGAAACUUACGCUAAUACCGCAUACGACCUACGGGUGAAAGCAGGGGAUCUUCGGACCUUGCGCGAUUGAAUGAGCCGAUGUCGGAUUAGCUAGUUGGCGGGGUAAAGGCCCACCAAGGCGACGAUCCGUAGCUGGUCUGAGAGGAUGAUCAGCCACACUGGAACUGAGACACGGUCCAGACUCCUACGGGAGGUAGCAGUGGGGAAUAUUGGACAAAGGGCGCAAGCCUGAUCCAGCCAUACCGCGUGGGUGAAGAAGGCCUUCGGGUUGUAAAGCCCUUUUGUUGGGAAAGAAGAGCAGCAGGUUAAUACCCCGCUGUUCUGACGGUACCCAAAGAAUAAGCACCGGCUAACUUCGUG